Molecule: ribosomal RNA, 136 nt
Filed under: Glaesserella parasuis
Lineage: Bacteria; Pseudomonadati; Pseudomonadota; Gammaproteobacteria; Pasteurellales; Pasteurellaceae
Description: partial 16S ribosomal RNA
Rfam family: Bacterial small subunit ribosomal RNA
Source: RNAcentral
AGUGGGUUGUACCAGAAGUAGAUAGCUUAACUGAAAGGGGGGCGUUUACCACGGUAUGAUUCAUGACUGGGGUGAAGUCGUAACAAGGUAACCGUAGGGGAACCUGCGGUUGGAUCACCUCCUUACCUGAAUGAAG